This 325-nucleotide ribosomal RNA is filed under the name uncultured eukaryote. RNAcentral describes it as "partial 18S ribosomal RNA". It matches the Rfam family "Eukaryotic small subunit ribosomal RNA", at positions 1470 to 1796 of the family's 1831-position model. The record is from RNAcentral.
CCCUUAGAUGUUCUGGGCCGCACGCGCGCUACACUGAUGCAUUCAACGAGCCUAUCCUUGACCGACAGGUCCGGGUAAUCUUUGAAUCUGCAUCGUGACGGGGAUAGAUUAUUGCAAUUAUUAAUCUUCAACGAGGAAUGCCUAGUAGGCGCAAGUCAUCGGCUUGCGUCGAUUACGUCCCUGCCCUUUGUACACACCGCCCGUCGCUCCUACCGAUUGGGUGUGCUGGUGAAAUGUUCGGAUCGGCCGUUUGUCGCGGUUUCCGCGGCUCGUGGCUGAGAAGUUCAUUAAACCCUCCCACCUAGAGGAAGGAGAAGUCGUAACA